Molecule: long non-coding RNA, 3841 nt
Organism: Centrocercus urophasianus (Greater sage-grouse)
Lineage: Eukaryota; Metazoa; Chordata; Aves; Galliformes; Phasianidae
Exons: 13
Source: RefSeq, a predicted model, not a curated record
CCGCUCCGCUCGGCCCCGCCGCCGCCGGACCCCAGCCCGGAGAAUGGGGGGGGACGCGUCUUGGCAGUGGGAGCAACUAUUCUCAAGAGCUGGUGCUCUGCUUUGGUGAGUCAAUGGAACCACAUGCACUCUGUUUACUAGAGUGCAGAAUGUGCUCGUGCCUUGCUACUUCCCGGCAUGAGUGACUUUGCCUUUAUGAAGCUCUAUGCAUACGAGAUGACGGUGGAAACUCGUCUCUGUAAGGCCAACACCUGAGCUACUGACGAAGGGAGUCUGCAGUGCAGUUGAGGUCUCAGCCCUGUGCCUUCAACCACUCUGGAGUAAUGCUGGGAGGAGCUCUCAGAUUGAUCCUUUCCAUAGCUUCCAAGGAUUUUUAGGAUUAUGGGAUUUAUGGACCUGCAAAAUCCUCUGGAGAACGUCAGCCACCCACAAAACCAUCUGGAAAUUCUCCCUAUCUUUCCUGGGUCACUGAGUGUUGGAAGGAGGCAUCUCUGCUCUGAGGAUUACAGCAAAUCAGUCGCUUGCCAUCCUUACUGGAAUACCUCCCCUUUCAGUUGCUCGGAACAGAGAAAUUAUUGCAGAAGGCAGAAGAAUAUUUUUUCCCUUUCUCUGAGCUUUUGCAGUGCAGCAGUGGCCAUGUCUGGGAUGCUGCUGCGUCACUUGCAUUCUUCACCCCUCCUGCCUUGUUGGGAAGGAGCAACCCUCCGAAGCCGGCGGUCUCGCUUGACUGAAAAAAGGAGAAAGGAGGAGUGUGUGCAGGGAGUUCAGGUCCCGCUGUGGCUUCUUGGGAAGUGAGGUUCAUCCACUAUUUGGAUUAUGAAGUUUGAUGGGCUGUGAUUUGGCUCAGAUUUACAUUAUUUGGAAAAAUAUUCUGAACUCUCCAGACAGCCCCUGCCACAGACUUUCAGAACUGGCUGGUGUUAAGUGUUUAUUUCCAGUCACACCAGGAGAGGGGAUGGAGUUGGAUACUUUCUAGAAGAAGUAAAAAUCAAUACUGUGUUGCUGUCAGAAGUGCUUAAAGGGAGAAAAGCCUGGAGUGUAGCUCUCAUUUUGGAGAGAUUGAUUUUUACUCAGAAGAUUGUACAAGAUACAGGAGGAAAGAGAAGAUGUGAUCCUGCAGACCUGCAUCCUCACCUCUGCAGUGGGACUGAGGCUUCAAAAGAUCUGGAAAGUAUGAGCAGCAAGAGAAGCUUAAUCACCAUUAGAUAAGUAUUACAGAUGACUCAUGCUAGAAUAUCAACAGCUGUGCAGCUGACAUGAAUAUAUUUGUACCAAGAGCCAGGAACCUUAACCCACCCUGUGCUUUCCCACUAACACGCUUUGGUUCUCUAGCACCUUUUACCCCCUGAUUUGUACACCUAAACAGCUCACAGAAGUGUUUUUGCCUCCUUGAGGGGUUACAAGGUACAGGAUAGCUCAUGUCACUUGAAACCAAAUUACAAGAUGUCAUCUUAAAAUGAAAGCUGGUGAUGAAUGGCUUCAGUGUUGUAGCUGUUUUCUAGGACAACUUGCAGUUUGUCUUUUUAAUAGAGGCAGUUAAUGGCUUUCCUCAAUUCUUUGUGGUUUUUGUUUGUUUUCUUUUCAGAAUCAUUGACUCCUUUUCCAGCACCACAGCUCCAGAAGUCCAGAGCAGGGACUCGCACUGUGCUUCAUUUCAGAGGGAUCCAGUGAAUUAACAUAUUGUUGCUGCUACUUUGGUAAUUGCAUGCCCAGGGUCUGCUCUGCUCCGACUCAGUCUGCCUGGUUUCCCAGACAGAAACCAUCCUUCUGUAUCAAACAAGGCUGCAAAGUAUUGCCCAGAGACAUUGCUUCAACGAAGGAGGACGGGGUGGGAGGAGGAGGGGGAGAUUGUUUCCAAAGGCACAACUGGCUCCAAGACCUCGCUUCUCCAGGAGGAAGAGGAGAUUGGACACCAACAGAGGUUCCUUGACUACUGCUUCCCAAACUGUUCCUUUCAAAUGGAGAUGGACAGUUUGCGGGUCAUGGUGGGACUGGAGGCAGAAGUGGGAUUUAUUAUGUCCUGAGGGGAAUGUUUUCUAACUAUGGAAGCACUACAGAGGAGCUGCACCGUGGGCUGCUGACCCCAGGGUGGGGACAUUUUUAACUUCUCAGCUAAAGUUGGAGAAACUGACAAAAAGAACAAGAAAAGCUGGCUAUUGGACAGAUCAUAUUGGGAGAAUUGUAAUUCCUCCUAUUGGGAGCCCAAAGCAGAAGACUGUCAGUUGGAGUCAGGAUAGAAGGGAUCUUCCACCUCUUCCCACCUGCACUGACAUCAGGACACUUCUCUGCAUUAGUAAGACGCCUGAAUUAAUACACUGCAGUUUGCUGUUAGGACUUCCAGGCUCUGAUGAGCACAAGCGGUGUCACCUUCUCAGGAUGCUAUCCAAGACAGAAUCACAGUGGGAUAACUACCAUCAAAUGGGGUCAACAGUCCAGUUCUGCCAUGAAAAGUGCAUUGCUGACAUCUACUGCAGUCUUCUGGCUUUUUUCCAAGGUUUCCCCUCCAGCUGAAAUCCCAGCUGAAAACAGGGAUGAAUAUAACAUAACAAAUGAACAACAUAGCUAAUUAGUAAUUAAAAUAUCUUACAGCAGGUACUUUCACAUAGAAUUUCAAAUUUCCUUAUGAAUUCAGCUUCUGAAAGGUGCAGACAUAUCCAGUGAAAUGACAGAGCCAAAUAACAAGGUUUAAAAUAUGUGUUUGUGACAGAUGUAUUAGAAACAGGGUUUAGAGAGGAAGAGAAUCAGGUUUAAUGGACUCUGACAAAAUUCCAUCACAGUGAGUCACAUUUUAAUAGAAACAGAAUAAAAGAAAGCAAGGGUGGGGAAAAGACAUGGGUGAAAAUCGGAGGUCACCUGCAUUGUGAUAACUGAAGUUUUGGAAAUGAAUCAUCACACUAGGCAGUGGAAGGUUUCACCUCGGGCUGUGACAGGAAAUGCACUGCUCUGUGCAGAACAUUUCAGGCUCUCGAUCAGUUGCUAUUGAUUGGGAAAGUACAGUUGCACCCAGAAAGUCUUAGCUUUUCUCUCAUUUUCAGUUCGACAGAAAGGAAAAUCUCAAGCAGCCAUUUUCAGCUUCUCUUUCUCGGAAGAAAUGGGGAGUGGGAGGGGAGUUCACAGGGGGAAGACACAAAACUUACAGUUUUAGUUUUAGUACGAGAUUUAGUAAAUCUCGUACUACCAGUGUCCUAAACAGAGAAAAACAGAAACAAAACCACCUUACUUGAAAGAAGUCCCUAUGUAUGUCUGAGAGAGACCUUCAGGGAGAUCCUUCAAGGACCCUUGUUUAUUCAUAACCACAUAGCUAUCAAGUGAAUUCCUGUCUGGGCAUGAAAUUUCCUGGGAUGGGACUUGACCAGAAGAUGAGCUUAUUUCUGGAGUUUAUAAGACAGAGGAUUCCAAAGUUCUGCCAUGCACAGGCAAUAUUGCUGUGACUUCUUCUGGCUCUGUGACAUACUACAGCACAAGUCAGAGUGGCUCACACCUCAUCAGUUGUAAACUUGUUUUGGUAACCCUUGCUCAUAUGUAUCUGGAUGUGUUUGUAUGAACAUAUACAGAACAAGCCAACAUAUCUUCUUGAUGUGGUACAACCAUGUAUAGGUUGUACAUCAAAAUAAAAAUGGUCUGCAGGUUGAAGGAAGUGAUCCGGCCCUCUACUCUGGUGAGACCUCACCUGGAGUACUGCGUCCAGACAUGGAGUCCUCAGUACAGGAGAGACAUAGACCUGUUGGAUUGCAUCCAGGGCAGGGCCACAAAAAUGAUACAAGAGAUGGAACACUUCUCCUAGGAGAACAGGCUGAGAGAGCUGGGGCUCUUCAGCCUGGAGAAGAGAAGGCUCCAAGGA